UCUUUAACACUGAGCCAUCUACCUCCCCAACCACUAGAUGCUCCCAUUUUGAGAUACUAUUUCUAUAAGUGUAAACGGUGGAAUAUUUUUAGAGCAUCCAGGGUUGAGAGUUGGAGUUCCUCUGCUCUGAGACAUUUGACACGCCUUCUGCACCUUUCUGACACUGUUCCCAUAGAACUGACCGUGGUCUUGCCCCCACCCCAGCAACAUGUGUCUGUGUUCUUGUUUCCAGAUGAAAGCCUGUCACAAACUGAAACUCUGAAUGGGAACAAAAUCCUCUUAAAAUCAAAGUUGUGGAUCUGGAGUUUGGAAGACAGGAAGGAGGAGAGAAGAGAAGCCGAUGAAACAGAAGAAGGCUUGAGGAAUGUCCUGAAGUGUGAGAUGCAGGCCAUGCCCAAAAGAUGGCAGGUGGUGGCUCCUGAGCUCCAGGACUCUGCUUGUAAGUGUAAACGGGGAAGAAAAGGAAUCCAAGAUCUGUUCAGAUUCUGGCUGGCCUCACAGGACCGACACCAAAUGCUGCCAGACUCUCUGAGGUAGGUACACUGGGGAUUUCAAUGUAUUUUCCCUUGCAGCCAUUUCUAGCCUCGUUAUAAGAAGAAUACGGCAAUGCUAGGGGAAAUCACUACAUGUAUUAAAAUAGUACUAGACUUAUUUCUUUAAAAUAAGUAAAGAAAACUGUAUUUCAUUCUGUUAAAAGACUGAAGGAGAAUUUAAGGAGAAUGGAUUUAUUCUUAUAAAGGGCUGUAAGAAGUAGGUAUUUAUUCAAUUAAACAGAUAAAAACCUUAGUCCUCAGAGGGGCUUGGAAGACACAGAAUUUGGAUCAGAGGGAGGAUAAUUGGAAACUGAAGCUCCUCCAGCUUGAGAGAAACAAUAGCUGCAGGUGUGUUGGGAAAAGCGCCUGCUGGUUCCACACAGAGACGGCAAUGGAGGCAGUGACAGUGUGGCCUUGUUAGGUGGAGUGGACACUUCUACAAGGUCACAAGGAAAGUCAUGAGUCUUCAGACGGGACACAGAAGGAUGCU
This is a long non-coding RNA of Mus musculus (house mouse), 1023 nucleotides long. RefSeq annotates it as predicted gene 15942. Lineage: Eukaryota; Metazoa; Chordata; Mammalia; Rodentia; Muridae. The record is from RefSeq and is a predicted model, not a curated record. The transcript has 2 exons.